This 1473-nucleotide ribosomal RNA is filed under the name uncultured bacterium. RNAcentral describes it as "16S ribosomal RNA". It matches the Rfam family "Bacterial small subunit ribosomal RNA". The record is from RNAcentral.
AGAGUUUGAUCCCUGGGCUCAGGAUGAACGCUAGCGGCAGGCUUAACACAUGCAAGUCGAGGGGUUCGGGAGGGAAGCUUGCUUUCCUUGCCGGCGACCCGGCGCACGGGUGAGUAACACGUAUGCAACCUGCCCUCUUCAGGGGGACAACCUUCCGAAAGGGAGGCUAAUCCCGCGUAUAUCGGUUUCGGGCAUCCGAGAUCGAGGAAAGAUUCAUCGGAAGAGGAUGGGCAUGCGGCGCAUUAGCUUGACGGCGGGGUAACGGCCCACCGUGGCGACGAUGCGUAGGGGUUCUGAGAGGAAGGUCCCCCACACUGGUACUGAGACACGGACCAGACUCCUACGGGAGGCAGCAGUGAGGAAUAUUGGUCAAUGGGAGAGAUCCUGAACCAGCCAAGCCGCGUGAGGGAAGACGGCCCUAUGGGUUGUAAACCUCUUUUGUCGGAGAACAAAACCCGGGACGAGUCCCGGACUGCGUGUAUCCGAAGAAAAAGCAUCGGCUAACUCCGUGCCAGCAGCCGCGGUAAUACGGAGGAUGCGAGCGUUAUCCGGAUUUAUUGGGUUUAAAGGGUGCGUAGGCGGUCCGUUAAGUCAGCGGUAAAAUUGCGGGGCUCAACCCCGUCGAGCCGUUGAAACUGGCAGACUUGAGUUGGCGAGAAGUACGCGGAAUGCGCGGUGUAGCGGUGAAAUGCAUAGAUAUCGCGCAGAACUCCGAUUGCGAAGGCAGCGUACCGGCGCCAGACUGACGCUGAGGCACGAAAGCGUGGGGAUCGAACAGGAUUAGAUACCCUGGUAGUCCACGCAGUAAACGAUGAAUGCUGGUUGUCCGGGUCGAAUGAGACCUGGGCGGCGAAGCGAAAGCGAUAAGCAUUCCACCUGGGGAGUACGCCGGCAACGGUGAAACUCAAAGGAAUUGACGGGGGCCCGCACAAGCGGAGGAACAUGUGGUUUAAUUCGAUGAUACGCGAGGAACCUUACCCGGGCUCAAACGGGAGUGGAAUGGACCAGAGACGGUUCAGCCUACGGGCCGCUUCCGAGGUGCUGCAUGGUUGUCGUCAGCUCGUGCCGUGAGGUGUCGGCUUAAGUGCCAUAACGAGCGCAACCCCCCGCCGGCAGUUGCUAACGGGCAAUGCCGAGGACUCUGCCGGGACUGCCGCCGCAAGGCGUGAGGAAGGCGGGGAUGACGUCAAAUCAGCACGGCCCUUACGUCCGGGGCGACACACGUGUUACAAUGGGCGGUACAGCGGGAAGCCAGGCGGCGACGCCGAGCGGAACCCGAAAGCCGUUCUCAGUUCGGAUCGGAGUCUGCAACCCGACUCCGUGAAGCUGGAUUCGCUAGUAAUCGCGCAUCAGCCAUGGCGCGGUGAAUACGUUCCCGGGCCUUGUACACACCGCCCGUCAAGCCAUGGGAGCCGGGGGUGCUUGAAGUGCGUCGCCGCGAGACGCGCCCUAGAGCAAAACCGGUGACUGGGG